CCUACGGGUGGCAGCAGUGGGGGAUAUUGCACAAUGGGGGGAACCCUGAUGCAGCGACGCCGCGUGGGUGAAGGAGUGCUUCGGCAUGUAAAGCCCUAUCGGCAGGGAAGAAGCAAGACGGUACCUGACUAAGAAGCCCCGGCUAACUACGUGCCAGCAGCCGCGGUAAUACGUAGGGGGCGAGCGUUAUCCGGAUUCACUGGGUGUAAAGGGAGCGUAGACGGCCAUGCAAGCCAGGGGUGAAAGCCCGGGGCCCAACCCCGGGACUGCCCUUGGAACUGGGCGGCUAGAGUGCGGGAGGGGCAGGCGGAAUGCAUGGUGUAGCGGUGAAAUGCGUAGAUAUCAGGAGGAACACCGGCGGCGAAGGCGGCCUGCUGGACUGCGACUGACGUUGAGGCUCGAAAGCGUGGGGAGCGAACAGGAUUAGAUACCCCUGUAGUC
Molecule: ribosomal RNA, 441 nt
Filed under: uncultured bacterium
Lineage: Bacteria
Description: partial 16S ribosomal RNA
Rfam family: Bacterial small subunit ribosomal RNA
Source: RNAcentral